This 206-nucleotide ribosomal RNA is filed under the name uncultured bacterium. RNAcentral describes it as "partial 16S ribosomal RNA". It matches the Rfam family "Bacterial small subunit ribosomal RNA", at positions 568 to 774 of the family's 1533-position model. The record is from RNAcentral.
CGUGUAGGCGGCCAGGUAGGUCUGCUGUGAAAACUCGAGGCUCAACCUCGAGAUGUCGGCAGAAACCAUCUGGCUAGAGUCCGGAAGAGGAGAGCGGAAUUCCUGGUGUAGCGGUGAAAUGCGCAGAUAUCAGGAAGAACACCCGUGGCGAAGGCGGCUCUCUGGGACGGUACUGACGCUGAGAGCGAAAGCGUGGGGAGCGAACA